UGGACUCUGCAUUCUGCAUUUCGUGUCUGCAUGAAACAUUAGGUUAGAUAACUCAAGAUACCUAUUUUUAGUACCUCGAAGAAGACGUCCCUUGUUCUGUCAAUAAAAAAGAAGAAAACAAAAGAUGCGCGAAAAAACAGGAACUCAAACGUCAUGGCAAAGAAGAGGAAACAAUUUGACGAAUAUUUGGGAGGAUCCGAGACCCUUCCAUCUGAAGUGUCUAUCAUGCAAUUCGUCUCUUCACGAGCCCGUGAAAUUUCCGCGAUGACAUCUUCGAUUGCCGCAAAAAAUUGUCAUGGCGAAGAAGAAGAAACAUUUUGACGAAUUGAAAUUUUGGAAGGAUCCGAGACCCUUCCAUCUGAAAUGUCUAUUAUGUGAUUCGGCUCUUCGAGGGCCCAUGAAAUUUCCAAGGUGACAUCUUCGAUUGCUUCUGCUGCCUAGCGAGUUGGAUCUCAUGCGUUUUCAUAUUCAUCAAACGUAUUUAUUCAGCAACAACUUUAAGAGAAAAUCCUAAGUAAACCAAGUUAAUAUUUCA
Camponotus floridanus (Florida carpenter ant) is the source of this 535-nucleotide long non-coding RNA. RefSeq lists it as uncharacterized. Lineage: Eukaryota; Metazoa; Arthropoda; Insecta; Hymenoptera; Formicidae. The record is from RefSeq and is a predicted model, not a curated record. The transcript is spliced from 5 exons.